GACGGGGGCCCGCACAAGCGGUGGAGUAUGUGGUUUAAUUCGAAGCAACGCGAAGAACCUUCCCAGGCCUUGACAUCCCCUGCAAAGAUGCAGAGAUGUAUCGGAGGCUAUCAGGGAGACAGGUGGUGCAUGGUUGUCGUCAGCUCGUGUCGUGAGAUGUUGGGUUAAGUCCCGCAACGAGCGCAACCCUUGUGAUAUGUUACCAGUAUCAAGUUAGGGACUCAUAUCAGACUGCCGGUGACAACCCGGAGGAAGGUGGGGAUGACGUCAAAUCAUCAUGCCCCUUAUGGCCUGGGCCACACACGUACUACAAUGGCGGAUACAGAGGGCAGCGACAGGGCGACGUGGAGCGAAUCCCAAAAAGUCCGUCCCAGUUCGGAUUGGAGUCUGCAACCCUGACUCCAUGAACGUUGGAAUCGCUAGUAAUCGCGAAUCAGCAUGUCAGCGGUGAAUACGUUCUCGGGCCUUGUACACACCGCCCGUCAAACCAUGGGAGUCAGUAAUACCCGAAGCCGGUGGCAUAACCUUAGGGAGUGAGCCGUCUAAGGUAGGACCGAUGACUGGGGUUAANUCGUAACAAGGUCCUAAAA
Molecule: ribosomal RNA, 590 nt
Filed under: uncultured bacterium
Lineage: Bacteria
Description: bacterial SSU rRNA
Rfam family: Bacterial small subunit ribosomal RNA
Source: RNAcentral